AUCUGCAGCUCUUGAAGAGGAUGAAGAUGAGAAGCAGAUCUAUAACAAGGAACAAGGCUAGGACGUCCAGGCUGUGGUACUGGUACCAGGUCUGCCACAUGCUGCUGACCCAGACUUCCCUUCCCUGACUUUUGAUGCUAGCAACACAACAAAUCUUGAUGUCUGGGAGAACCAACAUCACAGCUUUUAGAUGUUCUGGUGCCUCUAGAGGGCGCCAGAGCUCUUCAGCAGGAGUCAAUGGAGGGGAAACAAUAAACCAGAACAAGUUGGGGUUGGAUCUGAAGAUGCUCCACUGACAGUGUGGUCUGCCAAACCCUGGGAACGUUUUGACAGGAUAUUAAGAGAACUGCAACCACCGAAGAAAGCAGGGAACCUUUGAGAGAGUUGGACGGAGCACAGGAUUUUUGAACCCUGAUGAUGAAGAAAGUGUUACAGCAGGAGGAUCGAUGAAGGCAGGGAUCUCUGUUGGUGUGAUGAGCUUUCGUCUCUCCAUGGAUGCAGCUGACAAGAGAAGUGUGAUUUGAAGCCAUAUGUUGUGGGGCUGGCGGAUUGGUCCCCAUGCAGGACAGUCUUCGGUUCUGUGGCCCCGGCUCUUCUUCAGCUGCAGAGUUCUUUGUCCAUCAUGAUUUUUGCUUGAUGUUAAUAAA
This is a long non-coding RNA of Poeciliopsis prolifica (blackstripe livebearer), 647 nucleotides long. RefSeq lists it as uncharacterized. NCBI's taxonomy places the organism in Eukaryota, Metazoa, Chordata, Actinopteri, Cyprinodontiformes, Poeciliidae. The record is from RefSeq and is a predicted model, not a curated record. The transcript is spliced from 5 exons.